RNAcentral lists this long non-coding RNA (416 nucleotides) under Callithrix jacchus (white-tufted-ear marmoset). RNAcentral describes it as "lncRNA (ENSCJAG00000078954.1)". Lineage: Eukaryota; Metazoa; Chordata; Mammalia; Primates; Cebidae. The record is from RNAcentral.
UAACCUCAAAAAUGUCAAUCAAUCUAACAAACCAAAAAAGGAACACUGAUUACAUCAUAAUAUAGAGCACCCAUGAUGAAGACUGAGACUCAGAUGAGGCAGCACACAAGCCUUCCCUGCAUUCUGUGGUCCAUAUUGUAGGAAACAAUCCUCUCCUGCCACCACGACUGCCCCUUCCUGCAUGCGAUCCAUUAGAUAUCAGCUAACAAAGACUGUGUUAAAGGAAACUUGAAGCCAAUGUACAAGCAAAGAGGAUUUUCAAAAAAUAGCAAGGGCCUUAAAACAAGAAAACACCAACACCAAAGUGUGUUGUCAUCAGAAGAAGUUCAAUAAAUAUUUGUUAGAGGGAGAAAUAAAGGACAGUGUUUCAAAAACUGGCAGUGCAAACCUUUUUGUGAGUUCAUUGCUAACACUCU